Molecule: unclassified non-coding RNA, 646 nt
Filed under: uncultured Prochlorococcus sp.
Lineage: Bacteria; Bacillati; Cyanobacteriota; Cyanophyceae; Synechococcales; Prochlorococcaceae
Description: partial 16S-23S ribosomal RNA intergenic spacer; may also contain 16S ribosomal RNA and 23S ribosomal RNA
Rfam family: tRNA (bases 304-376)
Source: RNAcentral
UUGUGGAGGAGGACGCCGAAGGUGGGGCUAAUGACUGGGGUGAAGUCGUAACAAGGUAGCCGUACCGGAAGGUGCGGCUGGAUCACCUCCUAACAGGGAGACAACAAAAUGUUUAAUAUUAUUAUUUUGUCACCUUAGGUCGAUCGGUAUCUCAUGUUCUUAAUUUAUUAAGAAUUUCAUUUCCUAAGUUUUUCUAGGUCACACCCAUUAUUUUCCUGGGCCAUUAGCUCAGGUGGUUAGAGCGCACCCCUGAUAAGGGUGAGGUCCCUGGUUCAAGUCCAGGAUGGCCCAUAUCUCUAUGUUGGGGGUAUAGCUCAGUUGGUAGAGCGCCUGCUUUGCAAGCAGGAUGUCAGCGGUUCGAGUCCGCUUACCUCCACUGAUUACCACCUCUUCCAUAAUCUGUAGAAAGGAAAAUUUUUGAGUUGUGAUCAUUAUUCUGAACAAAUCUAGCUUCCUAAUAAAACCAUUAAGAUGCUGGACUCAUUGAAUUAAUUUCAUUGUUUUCAGAGAACCUUGACAACUGCAUAGAUUAUUUUUAAAGACAAUAAGCAUCUUUAAUGAUGCAGAUUUAUUAUUUGUGCAAAUGCAUUAAUAACAAUUCUAUUAAGCUGAUGCUUCAAUUAUGAAGUUAUUGGUCAAGCUACAA